Molecule: ribosomal RNA, 452 nt
Filed under: uncultured organism
Description: partial 16S ribosomal RNA
Rfam family: Bacterial small subunit ribosomal RNA
Source: RNAcentral
ACUCCUGCGGGAGGCAGCAGUGGGGAAUUUUACGCAAUGGGGGAAACCCUGACGUAGCGACACCGCGUGAGCGAAGAAGCCCUUUGGGGUGUAAAGCUCUGUCAGCUGGAACGAAAACAAUGACGGUACCAGCAGAGGAAGCAUCGGCUAACUACGUGCCAGCAGCCGCGGUAAGACGUAGGAUGCGAGCGUUGUCCGGAUUUAUUGGGCGUAAAGAGUUCGUAGGUGGUUUGUUAAGUUUGGUGUUAAAGAUCGGGGCUCAACCCUGGGACUGCACUGAAUACUGGCAGACUCGAGUGUGGUAGAGGCUAGUGGAAUUCCCAGUGUAGCGGUGAAAUGCGUAGAUAUUGGGAAGAACACCGGUGGCGUAGGCGACUAGCUGGGCCAUAACUGACGCUGAGGAACGAAAGCCAGGGGAGCGAAUGGGAUUAGAAACCCGUGUAGUCCCAUGA